CUGAGCCCCACUUAGAGAGGCAUUUGUGGGGAGUGCUGAGUACCUGUGCUGUAGCAUCUCCUGCAACAAAGGCAGCAAAUGCUCCUGGGAAAGGUGUACUCGGAAGACUGGCUCUUGGGGCACCUGGUCGUCCCCUCUCACAGAGCAGACCUCAGAGAAGGCCAUCAGACGUCACCACCGCCUUCUGGAAACUUGCAAUGGAAAACAGACACACCAGAGGUAGCAUCCGAAAAGACCACAGGAGAUGCCGCGUCCAAUCUCGGUUCCAACAGGGACAGAGGUGAGCAGACCAGCACUUUCUUAAAUGACUCUGGCUGCUGUGCGGAGAAUGGAUGGAAGGCGGAGCCAGUGCAGAGGCCACCACAGAGUGGAGCCUGGGACAUGGGGAGCUGGGCAUGCCCUGGAGACACCCAGGUCUAGAACAUCACCGCUAACGUCGUGCAGUUCCAGGGAGAGAGCAGCAUUGGCGGGAAGGGAUGAAGGCAGUGUGGGGCAGACUCCGGGGCGGAGGAGGGGGCGGGGCACGGAGGCGGCCUGGGAGCCCCUCCCUCUGUCUGUUUGCACAGCUGUCCAGGCCGAGCUGGCAGGGUGAGUCACAGGCUGGCACUCCACCUCCUCCACCUCUAGGGGAGGGCAACUUGGUGACCCUGGCCUUGGGGACCCUCCUCCUCUCUCCCUCCUCCCCUGCCUCUCUGAGCCCCACGAACUGUGCCCCUGUGCCCUCUCCUCCCAGCCACCUCCCAAGGCCUAGAUCUGGUUUCCCAGAUCCCCUCCACUCUGUCACUUUCCCCCCUGGAUGCACGGCCCUCCUCUGUCCCUCAUGUCCCAUCCCAGCUGCAUUAGAGUCACUCGUUUCCAGUCCCUGCAAGACGGCGAGCAGUUGAGGACACACUGUGGGCAGCUCUGGACACAUCUUUCCACUCUCUCGUCCCGCACACACUCAGUGCUUAAUGAACGUUCGGUGCAUUGAAUUAAACCUGCUUGAUUCACAUUUCUUGAGCUGGGAGGAAGAUCCAUCUCUUUCUCUGAUCUGACGGUGCUCAGGCUGGGGCAGGGUGGGGGACUUCUUCCCUGGGAGACCUGCCCCAGCUCUGGACGAUUGAGGAAGAUUUUUAUCACCAGGUUCCUAGUCUGCAAAAUGCCCCACCCAGCCUGUCUCCCAGCCCCCAGCCCCCUCCCCAGGUGCACAGAGAUCUCCCCUCUGGGACUCCCACUGCGCUAGCCUGGGGCCAAAGGCACAGUGUCUCCUGCCUGGGAAAGAGAGGGCCACCCUCCCUCAGUGUCAGUGACGGUUUACCCACUCGGCUUCCUGUUAGGUUUCUCCUUCCUUCCUUCCCCACCAGGCAUCUCUAAUCUUAAGCUUCUUAGGGG
Molecule: long non-coding RNA, 1371 nt
Filed under: Equus caballus (horse)
Lineage: Eukaryota; Metazoa; Chordata; Mammalia; Perissodactyla; Equidae
Description: lncRNA (ENSECAG00000034934.3)
Source: RNAcentral